RNAcentral lists this long non-coding RNA (209 nucleotides) under Solanum tuberosum (potato). RNAcentral's name for it is "long non-coding RNA (STUB_LNC008925)". Lineage: Eukaryota; Viridiplantae; Streptophyta; Magnoliopsida; Solanales; Solanaceae. The record is from RNAcentral.
GAGGAAAUAUACGUUCUAACUUGCACAAGAUUUGUGGGAUGUCUCUCUCUAAUCUCUCCAUGUCAUCAACUCGUAGAGUUGUAGAAGUAAGAUCUUUGAAAAAUAAGCUCAAUUCUGUAAGUGCUUGCCACACAUUACUAGGAAGUAGUUCGCGAAAGGCAAUAGGCAACAGUCGUUGCAUGAACACGUGACAAUCAUGACUUUUCAUG